AACGCAAAUUGCGCCCAAGGCUUCGGCCGAGGGCAUGUCUGCCUCAGCGUCGGCUUUCAUCCUCGCCUCCUUUCCCCGGUUAACAUCGAGGAACUGUUGGCGGACCUGGCCCUCCCGGCUCGGUCAGAUUCGUCUGACUCCGGGUCGGCUGAAGCUUAGAGGCUUGAGCAUGGACCCCGUUUGCAGGGAAAUGGCUUGGUAGGUAGGCACCCCCUACGAAACCCUGCCGUUGCCCGAGGGGGCUUUGCUGGAGGCCUUGCCGGGUUCGACUGUCUGCCCUUGGCAGCUUCGAACGCUUCACACCUUCGACCUGAGCUCAGGCAAGACUACCCGCUGAACUUAA
RNAcentral lists this unclassified non-coding RNA (343 nucleotides) under uncultured fungus. Its description in RNAcentral is "partial contains 5.8S ribosomal RNA, internal transcribed spacer 2, and large subunit ribosomal RNA". The record is from RNAcentral. Lineage: Eukaryota; Fungi.